CUGGCAAUUUCAGGGAUGCUUGGGGAGGCUCAUGCUUUAUUUGCCACCCUUGCCAGGAGCCAGUUUCUUCAGAGCCUUGGUCUCCUGGCCUGGGAGCCUGGGGGUGGCAUGCCUUGCAGGAGGGGGCAGCCAGGGACAGGGAGCAGCAGGAUUGCUAGUGGUGUGUUUCUGCCAGUGUGUCCCUGGACUUCUGCAUUUCUGUGGCAGCAGCCCAGCCUGAGGCAGAGGGUGAGGUAGACAUGCCUGGGCAUGUCUGGUGGGGCAGGCUGGCCAGGAGCCCACUUGCAUGAAGACAGCAAGAUCCUUGGGAGCCGUGACUGGACUCUGAGGCUUCCUGCUAUGACUCCUCUGGGCCAUUCUACUUGGAAUUGGCACAAAAACUAACAGCUUAAACCCUUCUGGGCGAAACUACAGAAGAAAAUAAAUCCUGGAGUGUCGUACUUGGCUACAAGCUGAACAGAAUGGCCUUCCCUGUCGGAUGAAAACCUGUUCUUUCAAGGGCCAGUUCAAAUGGCACCACCCUGAGGAUGAAGCCUUUCCUGACUCUCCAGACGCGGGCCACAAAUGAGCUCACCCAUCUUCAGCAACUGGACAUGUCCCAGGAUUGCCCAAAUGAGGACAGCUGCCUUAUAAGGAGGCUCUUCGAAGGCUCGUGUUCCAAGGAGCCUGUCACCUCUCAAAGCAUUUUUGGAACUCCUGCUUUGAAUUAGUGCCAGAGUCGGGCAGUGAAUCCUCACACCUCCACGAAGGAGUUAUUUUUGGAGACAAUGAAAGUCGUCUUGGCCAAGUUUGUGCUUGGCUCCGAGUCUUCUUCAUCCAUAUGGCUUCUGCAGGCCAAGGCUUUCCAUGGCUGGCGCCUGCUGCGUCUCAGUUCCAGAAUUCCAGGCUGGACUGCUCCCUAAUGGAGAGCGGACUGUGGCAGAUGUACUCUCUCUGCCUGGAAGAUAAGUUUUGCCAAGGGAGGCAGAACCAUCUUAUUGCUGCAAGUUGGGGCAGAGGAGAGACAAGAGAGGCAUCCCGAAAAAAUGCAUAGGCUUUAAAUCAGACAGAGCCAGUGUGAAAUCCUUGCUCCUCCCCUUAAAAAGAGGUGUGAUCUUAAGCAAGUUAUGUAACCCCUUCGAGGCUUGGUUUUCUCAUCUUUGAGAUGUAGAGCAUGAUAUCUCUAUCCUAGAACUCAUGCAAAAAUUAAAUAAGAUGACAUAUAAAGCACUGGAAACAGAUAUUAGAUGGUAUUAUGGUAGCUAUUAUAAUUUUUGUAAAUAAUAUUAUUAUUUAUGACCCUGUGGGUGGGAGAGAGAUGGUGGCUUUCUUUUUUCCCUCUUAGAUUUGAGAUUUAACGGGGAACUCUUGAUGUUAGUUGUUAAGAAACCCAUCUAGGCAAAUAGGUGAAUGUUUCCAUUGAUAUUUAAAUGAGUUUUUCAAGUUCUGAGAGAAUCCUUUCAAAGCAACUUCUGGGCCCUGAGGAGGUCCUGGUUCACCUUUGCAUUGGCUUAAAGAGAAUCAGAAGGACCUUAUCCGAAAAGGCAAGUCGUUGAACUUACCGCCUGGUCAAACUUUAGUAGCGAAACAUUCCUUCUGUGAGCCACAAGGCACUUCCAAGAUGGAAUGAUUAUCUAUAAAAUAACAAUAGGGAAAACAUUACUUAUCAGAACUUAGGAGGUACAGUUAAAGCAGUGUCCAGAGAAGAAUGCACAGUGGGAUUUUGUGCGUCAACUGGAUUGGGCCACAGGGUGCCCAGAUAUUUGGUCAAGUAUUAUUCUGGGUGUAUCUGUGAGGGUGUUUCUGGAUGGGGUUAACAUUGGAACUGGCAGACUGAGUAAAGCAGAUUGCCCUCCCCAAUGUGGGUGGGCCUCAUCCAAUCAGUUGAAGGCCUGAACAGACUAAAAGUCUGAGUAAGAAAGAAUUCUUUCUCUCUGCCUGACUGUCUUUGAGCUGGGACACUGGUCGUCUUCUGCCUUUGGAUUUGGACUCAAACUGGAACUUACACCAUUGGUUCU
Molecule: long non-coding RNA, 1997 nt
Organism: Diceros bicornis minor
Lineage: Eukaryota; Metazoa; Chordata; Mammalia; Perissodactyla; Rhinocerotidae
Exons: 6
Source: RefSeq, a predicted model, not a curated record